GAUUUCUGACGAACCGGAGUGGCCCGUAUCCUUUCGGAUAUGAGUGCCGCUUUGAGUUUGUCAUCCUUCCAGAGAGCUGCGUCUACCGUUUACUCGGCCGGACGUAUGCGAUCUGGAUCUAUUACUUUGAAAAAAUUAGAGUGUUUAAAGCAGGCUUACGCUAUGAAUACAUUAGCAUGGAAUAAUAAUAUAGGACUUUGAUUCUAUUUUGUUGGUUUCUAGGAUUGAAGUAAUGAUUGAUAGGGAUAGUUGGGGGUGCUAGUAUUCCGCGGCCAGAGGUGAAAUUCUUGGAUUCGCGGAAGACUAACUACUGCGAAAGCAUU
Molecule: ribosomal RNA, 323 nt
Filed under: uncultured Euglypha
Lineage: Eukaryota; Cercozoa; Imbricatea; Euglyphida; Euglyphidae
Description: SSU rRNA
Rfam family: Eukaryotic small subunit ribosomal RNA (bases 108-323)
Source: RNAcentral